Molecule: long non-coding RNA, 464 nt
Filed under: Malus domestica (apple)
Lineage: Eukaryota; Viridiplantae; Streptophyta; Magnoliopsida; Rosales; Rosaceae
Description: long non-coding RNA (MDOM_LNC006547)
Source: RNAcentral
ACUAAGCCAGCUCAUUUCUAAUUCUGUGAACCACCAAUUUAUGACCAUAAAAUCAAAAAGAUAUUCAAGCCAAUUUGGAUGUUGAGAUAUUGUUCUUUUGGGUUUAUAAAAAGCUGAGCUGUUAGAAUUCCUUUGUCAGACAUCGACCAUAGAGCUUGAGAACAAGCCCUUCAAAUAGAAUUACCCCACUCUAACUAUCAUUGAGGCCUUUUGAAUUAAAACCCCACACCUGACGGAUUGAGCAGGUGGCCAAAUGGGGACAAUAUCGGUGUUGUUGGAGUAGGCCCAUGGCCCAUCUACCUGAAAUUUAAGAUGGUCUCAGAGCCAGGGGACGGGUCCUUACAUCCACGUGAACGGGUGGGUCUCCUUUGGCCCCACGCAAAUGGGUGAGCCCUGACAUGGCUCCACGUAGGCCAAAAGAUGCCGCAUGCAUUGGCCCAGCGCGAACUGGUGAGCUCUGGCUU